GGGCGCAUAGCUUAGGGGCAAAGCAGCUGGCUCUUAACCAGUAGACAGGGGUUCGAUUCCCUUUGCGCUCACUA
RNAcentral lists this transfer RNA (74 nucleotides) under bacterium. RNAcentral's name for it is "tRNA-Lys". It matches the Rfam family "tRNA". Rfam says of the family: Transfer RNA (tRNA) molecules are approximately 80 nucleotides in length. The record is from RNAcentral.